RNAcentral lists this ribosomal RNA (253 nucleotides) under uncultured bacterium. RNAcentral describes it as "partial 16S ribosomal RNA". It matches the Rfam family "Bacterial small subunit ribosomal RNA", at positions 524 to 776 of the family's 1533-position model. The record is from RNAcentral.
UACGUAGGGUGCAAGCGUUGUCCGGAAUUACUGGGCGUAAAGGGCGCGUAGGCGGGAUGGCAAGUCGGUCGUGAAAUCCCUCGGCUCAACUGAGGAUCGUCGAUCGAUACUGCCGUUCUUGAGGAUUGCAGAGGAGACUGGAAUUCCCGGUGUAGCGGUGAAAUGUGUAGAGAUCGGGAGGAACACCGGUGGCGAAGGCGGGUCUCUGGGCAAUUCCUGACGCUGAGGCGCGAAAGCGUGGGGAGCAAACGGG